Molecule: long non-coding RNA, 3609 nt
Organism: Megalobrama amblycephala (Wuchang bream)
Lineage: Eukaryota; Metazoa; Chordata; Actinopteri; Cypriniformes; Xenocyprididae
Exons: 8
Source: RefSeq, a predicted model, not a curated record
UUGACAUGUCAGACUUAUUGCAAUUAAGUUUUAUGGAUGUACUCUUGAAACUGUGUGUAUUUUAAUUCUCACUCCAGGUACUCCAUUGUAAAUGCAUUACUGUAAACACGAUUUUUUGAGUCUAUCUAUCUUGUGACUUUAAACUUUCUUUAAAAAGUACUUUAAAAUUAUUCUUUUAUGUGUAAAAAAAAUCAUGAGGGAAAAAUAUUGAGUGCACCUUUAAGGGGCGUUCACACAUAACAAGCAGCGUCACGCUUAAGUCGUCCAAUUUCCUUGAAAAUACUUGUACAUUAGAUUCAAAACGUCAAUUUGCUUGUUAAACAAAACUUUUUAGAUUUUAAUUGGGAAGCUGUAUAAUUCAACUGAGGCCUUUCAAGGGCAGCCUAGUGAAAAUGGCCUCAGUACAGCGCCUGUAGAACAUUAUUUGUAUAUAUCUUUCAACUUUAUUAACAAAUAGACCUAGUUUAGUUGCAGAUCUUUCAUUUACCACAACUGCGAUGUAUAUCACACAAGUUAGUCGCGAUUAUUCAUAUUAUUUCAGCAUUUUGAAUGGGCGCGCGAGACGCCAAAUUCUUCCCGCUAAAAGUGCGAGGAGCUGCGCGCGCACUUCUAGUCUGACAGGAGGACGGGUUUCUGAGAUGAUCCACGUGAGUUUUCCGCUGCUGGAAAGUGAAGACAUUGACCCCGAGCGGCCGAACCUGCAGUAUUAAACGGUCUGGUGCUAAAUGCAUCAGCGCUGAAGCUCAGGGCUGAGCUGUGAUUGCCAUUAAGUGAUCCAUCAUUUGACAGUGAAUUUGGGCCUGGAGUUGAGUGGCCUCAUAUGCCUCUUCAGAGAUCUGUCCCCUUGCAGGGAUUCUUGUGACAGGAUGCUGGAUGCUCAAAGACUCAUGCCAGGGGAAUUAUUAAGUUUGCCCACAAAACCAGUGCAAAUAACUCAGCGCUGACCUGCCGGAUGGCUUUGGAAGGGCAACCUCCCAGAGGGAGGGCGUUCGGAGCUUAAUUAGAAUGUCAGGAGACACUUUCAAAGUAGUCUGAGAUGAGAGUCCACUCCAAUGGGAAACCUGAGCCGAUCGUCUUUCCCAGUUCAAGGCAAACUGCUGAAUGGGAUCAGACACAAGGAAUCACACCUUCCACGACGGCUCCACUGGUAGCAUCUCGCUGAGGUCAAGUCGUUUUCGUGACGGCCUCCCUGAAGCGGCAGCUGGCCAGGAUAAGGUUACGAUUUCACCUGCGCACUGCAGUAACGCAGGAACUGGCGUGUCAUUGAGGAGCGGGGAUCCAAGAGAAAGAUCUCCAUCUGGGUCAGAGUACAGCGAACCGGCGAACCCUCAGAAGUGACCAUUUAUACAAGAGUUCAGGAGUCUGUGCGGCGUCCCGAACCGUGUGGGUUUGAAGCCUUGGACCGCGGUGAAGGGGUUAUUUGAGCAGAUGCUGUGCAUUCUUGGGUUUGUUCGAGCGGAUCCCUCCUCAUGAGCGGAGGCUUUACUUUCCCAAAGCUGAUAUUAAUAUCACAGACCAUUGUGAUGGAGUUAUUUUCAUGGAAGCCCAGGAGGAAGUCAUGUGACACUAAUUAGUCCCCGGGGGCCGCAGGGUCUCCAUUACGUGCCUUGUUUUAACUCACAUAACCAUCAAUGAAGUGGAAAGGCUGAGGAAGUAGCAAUCACUGCGCCUGGGCGGCUGGUUUUAUUUUAAUGUUUUCUUGAGCACCUAUUUUGUUAAUGGGCUGAGAAAAAAAAAAGUGUCUUCUCUCUUUUUUCCCCCGUGACAUUAUUUUUUAGCUUUAAAAAUGAUGAAAUGAUCAUGUGAGCAUUAACUCUGAUCCACUAGCGGGAAGAUUAAUGAUUCUGGGAUUUGUUGGUUCACACCCUGUACAGCACAUGGGAAAAAUCAGGAAAGACAGACACAACCAUUAAAUGUGUCGUUCGUGUUUGCCAGCACCUUAUGAACUCUAAUCUAUGACAUCAAUAUUGUGUUUUAUACAUAUAUAUAUAUAAGUUUUUAAUAAAACUCCAAUAAAAAUAUUAUGAAAGAGUACAAAAACAUAAAAUAGAUAGAUAAUUUUUUUUUUUCAAUUUUCACCAAUUUUCACCUAUUUUUUCCCCCCAGACAAAUCUAAAGGGAUUUUAUAAAAGAUUAACAAGAAAAUAUUCCUUAAAAAACAUGUUUCGUCUGAAACAUUUCGAUGUAAAAUUCACCUUUAAGUUCACUUAUUUGAUAAAAGAAACUGAAAAAUUACUUUAUUGAUACUAUUUCAGUCUUUCUUGCUGUAUCUUUGUAAUUAUUUGUGAAAUUUCCUUGCAAUUUCUAAGUGAAAAUUGCUGUAACUAAUAUGAUUUAAAUGUUCAAAAAUUAUGACACAUAUGAUGGGAACAUGAACAUAAACAUCAUAGCAUGACCCAAAUGCUUCUGACUUCAAAAUCCCGCUCAGUGCAGCGAACAGAUUUUCUCCGUCAGAAAGGUAGCUACUUAAACACGUGACAGCAAUAACAGACAGUGCCACAUGCACACUUCCCAUAAUUCUGUGAAUUCACCUCUCUUCCUGACCUAAUAGCUUCCAUUUACUGCUGGGCCCGUUCCAAAGGAAAGUGUAGAGUUGGGCCAAAAUCUGCGGACAGCUACUGAUGAGAUCUGCCGAGUCCAAAAAUGUGAGCGUAAUAAAACAGCGGCAUGAGGAAAAGCUGGACGUCCUCCUGGGCUGCAUUAGCGAGGUGAGAUUAUUCUGAAAUUAGGCUUGCAACUGACAUUCUCAUAUAAUGUGUUUUGGAAGGCAUUAAGGAAGAUGGACGGUGUGUUUUUGAGCGUUCGUGAAUAGAGGACGAUGAAUUGUUUGAAUAACAAUAUGGCGGACGGGAGUAGAAUUAUUCAGUGUAAUUGUUCCAGAUUCUUUAAUUGGUCAUGGGCCGAACACUAUGUGCUGAAACGAACAAAUGUGGCUGAAUGUAUUCUCCAUAUUUCGGCCGUCCAGACGGUAAUACAAUGAAUGUGAAAUGAGAGACUGAAGAUGUAUCGUAUUGAAUCUCUUCCUUGGACCAUCGUCAGGAUGCAUUUAUGGUUUUUCCUUUAGCAGUGAGCAGGUCAAAGGGCGACGCGAGGUCGUGACAGAACACAAUCAUCCAUUAACGCUUAAACAGACAUGAAUGGAAAAGGCAGCAGUUCAGGGUCAUCAGAUCGGAUCCUACUUAUGCAACGAAAGCAUUACCACAUGGAGGACGGAAAACAGAGUAACAAUGCUUUCCAGAGCAGCACAUGUCCAAAACUAAUGUAGGAAAUUAUAUAUCACUGAGAAAACUGAGUCGCGGUCAAUUAAAGACAUUAGGAGAACUUUGUACUAUAAAUACUAUUAAAAAUUGUGUGAUAGAUUGAUUAUAUUUAGUGCAGUUAGAUUAAUAUAUAUAUAUUUUUUAUAUAUAUUUUUUUUUAUUUGAUUCUGGUAAUCAAAAAAUGAACAUAGUGAGGCCAAAUGAAGAUGAACUACUUCUUUAAUUUUUAACUAGAAAUCCAGUUAAUCAAGACUUUUAAAGUGCUGAAUAUUUGUUUAACAAGACCUUUGAAUGUUUUGAAAUAAUGUUUAAUAAGUUUUGAAGUCAAAGACAGAUAGAUAGAACGAUA